Long non-coding RNA from Balaenoptera ricei (Rice's whale), 1049 nucleotides. RefSeq lists it as uncharacterized. The transcript has 3 exons. Lineage: Eukaryota; Metazoa; Chordata; Mammalia; Artiodactyla; Balaenopteridae. The record is from RefSeq and is a predicted model, not a curated record.
GGCUCUGCUCCACUCUUUCUCCAAGGGCGAAGUGGCAGACACCUUGAGAGCUGGCCCACAAUCGCCUGGAGCCAGGGUCUGGAGACUCUAGCUCUUGGGGCCGUCCGUCCUGCCCAGUGGAUGGGAAACUGGCCGUGCCCAUCCUGAGCUAGGCACCCUGUGACAUCCUGAGCUACGUCACUGAGUGGGUGCUCAGCCACUUCAGGCUUGGCCAGGCCGGGGGUUGGCUGGCUGGCUGUUGGACAGGGCGCUGGAGGCUUCUCCACUAGGGUGGGCCUGGCCCUGCCCAGCCUGGGACCCUGACUGCGUACGCUGAUCCUCUGGGCCAGGCUUAUCCCUUGUCACACAGGGAACCGCCAGAUGGGGUGGGGGCGGAGGGGCAGCAGUGAGCAGCCGCGAGGGCACCCAGGCAGCCCUGGUCCAGCUGCUUAUAGGAGCUGCGCCUCUCUGCCUCCAUCCUGGAAGGCUAGCACCCCCUCAUUUGUGCCCAGGAAACGUGUUGGUUGGGAAGUACACACCUAAGAAUGAAUGACAGGGCAUGCGAGCCAGCGGGCCCUACCACAGUGUCAAGGAGAGAAGCAGCCAGCCCAGAAAGGGAAGGACCUGCCAGCAGGACCUGGACCCCCGCAGCCAUGGAGGAACAAGAGGCAGGGGCUUCCUAGGCUUCCGGAGAGACUUCAUGUGAGACAUUAGUUGAGCACCUAGUACUCGCAGGCACUGGGACACCCCCAGCAGGCUCCCACCGCAAGUCAGGGCAGGAUGAGGAAGCAGCCGCCUGCCUGCUGCCCGUCCACGGUCAGGCUCCUGAUGAGGCUCGGAGGCCAUGUCCGUACGUGCCUGGCACAGUGGCCCCCUCCUUGAGAAGAGGCAUCACCCUCUGCAUCAUCGGUCUCUCCCUCCAGACCUAGAGGGGUGGGCAGGGCACAGCCGAGCACUGAGGACCCCACCAGCUGCCUUUGUAAUGAAAAGUGGAUGGACAUUUGCUCUGAGCCCAGGGCCGUGGGCUGGCAGGGAGACUCCAACCCCAACAAAGGCAUUUGUACCCCCAA